This is a long non-coding RNA of Papilio machaon (common yellow swallowtail), 559 nucleotides long. RefSeq lists it as uncharacterized. The record is from RefSeq and is a predicted model, not a curated record. The transcript is spliced from 4 exons. Lineage: Eukaryota; Metazoa; Arthropoda; Insecta; Lepidoptera; Papilionidae.
CGCUACAGACCGCGCGCCCGCUGCACCGCGAACUUUACUCCGUACCCCGUACCCCUUCUUCGGUACUAAAGUCGUCAUAUGCCGGUAUAUAUCUGAGUGUACGAUACAUAUUUCGAAUCACACCCAUCCAUAUACAUGUGAAAGGGUCACAAAACACAAAGGUUGACCUGUAAAGUUUGGUACUGGCAACACAAGAAACAGAUUUAUUUGUGCGUUAAAAAUUAACAUGAUUAGUGACAGUAGAGUGGUGUUUAUUGAAUAAAUCUACGAGUAGGCGGCGACACAGCGGCUACAUCAUGCUACGAGAUAAAAGCUGUCCUCAUCGAACUUGCGUUUGCCGACAAUGAAGAUAUUAAGACUUCAAAAGAACUCACUCACACAACUACGAGGCAUAUACCAGAGAGACACUUUAUCAUCUUCCGGAUGCCACCUAAGCCCCGCACCGGCGUUGUAGGAGCACUGCUGCAACUGGCGGGCCCGAUCCUGUGACUAGCUAGGUUUCGCACUAGCGGAACGGGUGGCGGAUUGUAAGUCUGCAUUUUAUCUUAUUUUAAUACAA